Molecule: ribosomal RNA, 36 nt
Filed under: Chenopodium neomexicanum
Lineage: Eukaryota; Viridiplantae; Streptophyta; Magnoliopsida; Caryophyllales; Amaranthaceae
Source: RNAcentral
GGUGACCUCUUGGGAAGUCCUCGUGUUGCACCCUUU